Molecule: unclassified non-coding RNA, 210 nt
Filed under: Hevea brasiliensis (rubber tree)
Lineage: Eukaryota; Viridiplantae; Streptophyta; Magnoliopsida; Malpighiales; Euphorbiaceae
Source: RNAcentral
GUCCUCAUUGAGUUAGGCAAGCCAAUUGCUCUUGUCAUUGAUUUAUUCUGCACCAAAGCUUUCGAUAUAGGCAGAGAACUAUCAAUCCCAACGUACUCGUUUUGCACGACAUCCAUCGCAUUUCUUGCAUUUUCACUGUAUCUUCCUACUCUUGACAGGGAAGUGGACUGUGAAUUUGUUGAUCUCCCUGGAACGAUUAAUAUCCCUGGC